UACGAAGGGGGCUAGCGUUGCUCGGAAUUACUGGGCGUAAAGGGCGCGUAGGCGGGUCGUUUAGUUAGAGGUGAAAGCCCGGGGCUCAACUCCGGAAUUGCCUUUAAGACUGCAUCGCUAGAAUUGUGGAGAGGUAAGUGGAAUUCCGAGUGUAGAGGUGAAAUUCGUAGAUAUUCGGAAGAACACCAGUGGCGAAGGCGACUUACUGGACACAUAUUGACGCUGAGGUGCGAAAGCGUGGGGAGCAAACAGG
Molecule: ribosomal RNA, 253 nt
Filed under: uncultured bacterium
Lineage: Bacteria
Description: partial 16S ribosomal RNA
Rfam family: Bacterial small subunit ribosomal RNA
Source: RNAcentral